Long non-coding RNA from Saccostrea cuccullata (small rock oyster), 175 nucleotides. RefSeq lists it as uncharacterized. The record is from RefSeq and is a predicted model, not a curated record. The transcript is spliced from 3 exons. NCBI's taxonomy places the organism in Eukaryota, Metazoa, Mollusca, Bivalvia, Ostreida, Ostreidae.
CCAAGUUCACAAGAAACUUUUACAGGGAGUUUUAAUUACAGACAUGGAGUUUGAGAUUUCCUCCACGGGUUCCUGUGCCCCAUCCCUACCUUCUUCCCAGGACUGGUAUGAAAAGAACAAAACACCGAGAGAAAAACUAAAUGAAGCUUUGCAGAGACUUUCAGUCAAUAUGGAU